ACGUGUCGUCACUUCAAGCGCUGUAGUGUUCACUUGGUACGUACCUACCCCUAUCUCUUUCAUAACGUAUCAACCGCCCAAUGGACCAACGGAGCCGUGCUCUCUCUUGCAUCCGUCUUCUCUUAUUUACUCUUUCUUCUAAAACCUCCACUCUAACAAAAAGAACCAGUUUGUCUUCUCUAGCCACCAUGUCGAUUAACCUUAAUUCCCAUGCAUUUGCUGGCAACCCUAUAAGAUCCAAAACCCCUAAACCCCAUGACCCACUUUCCCCUUCUUCAGCUUUUGAGUCCCUCAAAACCCAUCUCCUCCAAAACCCAGAAAACCACCCUUCUCCAAGGUCUCCUCUUUUCAAGGUCUUGCCUUUCAGAAAGGGCAGGCCUUUGGCUUCUUCUUCUGUUAUCGGGGAUGAUGUUGUGCCCGCUUGGCAUCUGGGGUGGAUCAGUUUGCCUGAUUUUAAGAUUAUGUUUGCCAAAUGUGGGAUCCAGUUGACUGAGCAGCCUUUGGUUUAUUUGGGUUCAAGAGUUGAGGAUGAUGUUGUUUAUUGGGCUAUUGAUGUUUCUGAGGAAGGUGGGUUGGUUCCUGAAUUGGGCAGCAGAUACUUUUGCUUUGUGGAGCUUAGGACACUGAUGGUGGCUACUGAUUGGGCUGAUUCUUUGGCUAUGGGUGAAUUGGCUAUUGCUGGUCAUGCACGGGCAUUGCUUGAAUGGCAUAAUCUAUCACGAUUUUGUGGACAUUGUGGAGAGAUAACAGUCCCCAAGGAAGCUGGGAGGAGGAAACAAUGCUCCAAUGAGUUAUGCAAAAAGAGGAUUUACCCUCGUGUUGAUCCAGUUGUCAUUAUGUUGGUCAUUGAUAGAGAAAAUGAUCGUGCACUUUUAAGUAAACAGUCCAGAUUUGUACCUCGAAUGUGGAGUUGUCUAGCUGGAUUCAUAGAGCCAGGGGAAAGCCUAGAAGAAGCAGUGAGGAGAGAAACAUAUGAAGAGACUGGUAUUGAAGUUGGAGAAGUUGUUUAUCAUAGUUCUCAGCCAUGGCCAGUUGGUCCGAGUAGCAUGCCAUGCCAAUUGAUGGUCGGGUUCUUUGCAUAUGCAAAAUCUCUUGAAAUAAAUGUGGAUAAGGAAGAAUUAGAAGUUUUAGAGACUGCAGGCCAGCUUUUGGCAAAUCUUACAAUUUACCAGAAGACUUCCUAAAGUUGCUACCAUAGUAGCAGGUUUCAUCCAUAAAAUGGGGAACUGAGAAAGGAGACGUCUGAGUUUUUCUCAAGUAUUCAUGAGUUAUUUCAACCGGCAAAACUGAGAAGCAUGAUUCAAGAUUUAGCCCAUUUUAUAGUUGACCUGGCCAAAGCAUCCAUAGGGUCGAUGCAUUUUUUCAUAGGAGGAUCCUCUCGAGGAAUUAGAAUGUGUUCCAUGGUUGCCUUGUCUGGCAAAACAACUUCAAAGCCCUGCAAAUUGACAUUACGAGAAACGAAGUAUACUUCAGGAUGAACAUAGUGAAAAUUCUUCCAAGUGGUAUUUUUUGAGUGAUAUGUAUAAUAACAAUAUAGAAAUAUGGGAAAAGACGGCAGAAAGAUAAAAACAAAUUCAAAAGAAAGAUUUGAUGCUUGAGAAGCUCUACCAUCGUCCUUUAAGUAUUCUAAGAUCUAUAAAUAGAUACUUUUAAGUAUCUUGAUAGAAAAGGCCAACGAGAAAGAAGACAGAAUGCUGUUUUCAUGCCUUCUGUCUUCUAUUAGUUGUGUUAUGUGAGGUUUUCCAACCAAAUCAAAUCGAGGAAGAGGUUUUAGUUGACUGGAGCCCUCAUCAUCUUUCAGCUGAGGAUAAUAUAGUUGGAUUUUCAAGUAAAGCUUUGUUUAAACUUUCUUAGAUAGCUUUUCAAACAAUUGUAAAUAAAUCUUAAUAUCUCUGAAUCUGAAAAAUCUAAACAGUCACUCUAUUGCUCUAAGAGAUCAUCUGCAGCUGCUACAGCACCAAAAACAUGUUCCUGUUAAGGUCUUUAACGUUAUGGCCAAAAACACCUAUGAAAUAGGCAAAUGUGGUUUUGAAAUCAUACCCAAGCCAAUUUAUAGAGAAUAGAUCCACAACCCCAACACCCUAUGAGAGCAAUAAUCUGCCAAACUUUCAACCGAAAGAAAUAAGACAGAACACACAUAUAGAAUUGAAAUUGUCUCUGCCAAAUGUUGGACCAAAGUAACUGAGAUUAAAUAAGUCAUUUCUCCUCAACAGAAUUCAUAUGUCGAAUUUGGUGCACAUGAAAAACUUAUCUGCUCCUUCUGAUGCAAGUUUUUGAGACUCCAAUCUAGCUCUCUUUUAUCAUACAAUGCAUAUCAACUUGAAAUUUUAAUUUUUUCAGACAAGGAACCCAGAUAUAUUUGGUUGUGAGGCCAUACUAUCACAAAAAUAUGAUCCAGAAUCAGAUAGUCCAGUGAAGGUGCAAUAGUAAAGCUCAAAAGCUAAAUUUUUGUGAUGAAACAGAAGUAGUAUAAACAUAAGGGAAUG
Non-coding RNA from Durio zibethinus, 2486 nucleotides. The record is from RefSeq and is a predicted model, not a curated record. Lineage: Eukaryota; Viridiplantae; Streptophyta; Magnoliopsida; Malvales; Malvaceae.